CUAGCCUGAGGUAAAGGACAGACCUCCAAGACUCACCGUCACCAAACUAGCCUGAGGUAAAGGACAGACCUCCAGGACUCACCGUCACCAAACUAGCCUGAGGUAAAGGACAGACCUCCAGGUCUCACCGUCACCAAACUAGCCUGAGGUAAAGGACAGACCUCCAGGACUCACCGUCACCAAACUAGCCUGAGGUAAAGGACAGACCUCCAAGACUCACCGUCACCAAACUAGCCUGAGGUAAAGGACAGACCUCCAGGACUCACCGUCACCAAACUAGCCUGAGGUAAAGGACAGACCUCCAGGACUCACCGUCACCAAACUAGCCUGAGGUAAAGGACAGACCUCCAGGACUCACCGUCACCAAACUAGCCUGAGGUAAAGGACAGUCCUCCAGGACUCACCGUCACCAAACUAGCCUGAGGUAAAGGACAGACCUCCAGGUCUCACCGUCACCAAACUAGCCUGAGGUAAAGGACAGACCUCCAGGUCUCACCGUCACCAAACUAGCCUGAGGUAAAGGACAGACCUCCAGGACUCACCGUCACCAAACUAGCCUGAGGUAAAGGACAGACCUCCAAGACUCACCGUCACCAAACUAGCCUGAGGUAAAGGACAGACCUCCAGGACUCACCGUCACCAAACUAGCCUGAGGUAAAGGACAGACCUCCAGGUCUCACCGUCACCAAACUAGCCUGAGGUAAAGGACAAACCUCCAGGACUCACCGUCACCAAACUAGCCUGAGGUAAAGGACAGACCUCCAAGACUCACCGUCACCAAACUAGCCUGAGGUAAAGGACAGAUCUCCAGGACUCACCGUCACCAAACUAGCCUGAGGUAAAGGACAGUCCUCCAGGACUCACCGUCCCCAAACUAGCCUGAGGUAAAGGACAGACCUCCAGGUCUCACCGUCACCAAACUAGCCUGAGGUAAAGGACAGACCUCCAGGACUCACCGUCACCAAACUAGCCUGAGGUAAAGGACAGACCUCCAGGACUCACCGUCACCAAACUAGCCUGAGGUAAAGGACAGACCUCCAGGACUCACCGUCACCAAACUAGCCUGAGGUAAAGGACAGACCUCCAGGACUCACCGUCACCAAACUAGCCUGAGGUAAAGGACAGACCUCCAGGUCUCACCGUCACCAAACUAGCCUGAGGUAAAGGACAGACCUCCAGGACUCACCGUCACCAAACUAGCCUGAGGUAAAGGACAGACCUCCAGGACU
This is an RNA transcript of Perca flavescens (yellow perch), 1229 nucleotides long. It is a transcript of the gene named galectin-related protein-like, with no coding region annotated. Lineage: Eukaryota; Metazoa; Chordata; Actinopteri; Perciformes; Percidae. The transcript is spliced from 2 exons. The record is from RefSeq and is a predicted model, not a curated record.